This 830-nucleotide ribosomal RNA is filed under the name Mycobacterium sp. RNAcentral's name for it is "bacterial SSU rRNA". It matches the Rfam family "Bacterial small subunit ribosomal RNA", at positions 107 to 928 of the family's 1533-position model. Lineage: Bacteria; Bacillati; Actinomycetota; Actinomycetes; Mycobacteriales; Mycobacteriaceae. The record is from RNAcentral.
UGAGUAACACGUGGGCAAUCUGCCCUGCACUUCGGGAUAAGCCUGGGAAACUGGGUCUAAUACCGGAUAGGACCUUUAGACGCAUGUCUUUUGGUGGAAAGCUUUUGCGGUGUGGGAUGGGCCCGCGGCCUAUCAGCUUGUUGGUGGGGUGAUGGCCUACCAAGGCGACGACGGGUAGCCGGCCUGAGAGGGUGUCCGGCCACACUGGGACUGAGAUACGGCCCAGACUCCUACGGGAGGCAGCAGUGGGGAAUAUUGCACAAUGGGCGCAAGCCUGAUGCAGCGACGCCGCGUGGGGGAUGACGGCCUUCGGGUUGUAAACCUCUUUCACCAUCGACGAAGGUCCGGGUUUUCUCGGAUUGACGGUAGGUGGAGAAGAAGCACCGGCCAACUACGUGCCAGCAGCCGCGGUAAUACGUAGGGUGCGAGCGUUGUCCGGAAUUACUGGGCGUAAAGAGCUCGUAGGUGGUUUGUCGCGUUGUUCGUGAAAUCUCACGGCUUAACUGUGAGCGUGCGGGCGAUACGGGCAGACUAGAGUACUGCAGGGGAGACUGGAAUUCCUGGUGUAGCGGUGGAAUGCGCAGAUAUCAGGAGGAACACCGGUGGCGAAGGCGGGUCUCUGGGCAGUAACUGACGCUGAGGAGCGAAAGCGUGGGGGAGCGAACAGGAUUAGAUACCCUGGUAGUCCACGCCGUAAACGGUGGGUACUAGGUGUGGGGUUUCCUUCCUUGGGAUCCGUGCCGUAGCUAACGCAUUUAAGUACCCCCGCCUGGGGGAGUACGGCCGCAAAGGCUAAAAACUCAAAGGAAUUUGACGGGGGGCCCGCACAA